This 200-nucleotide unclassified non-coding RNA is filed under the name soil metagenome. Its description in RNAcentral is "partial contains internal transcribed spacer 2 and large subunit ribosomal RNA". The record is from RNAcentral.
GGCUCCCCUUAAAUGCAUCGGUUUCGGGUCUCUGUGGGAGUAACCCCUUGGGCGUUGUAUAACCCUCGCCGUCUGGGAACUCCACGCGACGUCCGCGUCGUUGAAGGGCCUUGAAGAAACCUCGACCUGCUGUAGAGCGGCGGUCAAUGUUAACAUCGAGAUCUGACCUCAAAUCAGGUAGGACUACCCGCUGAACUUAA